RNAcentral lists this ribosomal RNA (304 nucleotides) under uncultured bacterium. RNAcentral's name for it is "partial 16S ribosomal RNA". It matches the Rfam family "Bacterial small subunit ribosomal RNA", at positions 506 to 807 of the family's 1533-position model. The record is from RNAcentral.
CAGCAGCAGCCGCGGUAAUACGGAGGGUGCAAGCGUUAAUCGGAAUUACUGCGCGUAAAGCGCACGCAGGCGGUCUGACAAGUCAGAUGUGAAAUCCCCGGGCUUAACCUGGGAACUGCAUUUGAAACUGUCAGGCUGGAGUCUUGUAGAGGGGGGUAGAAUUCCAGGUGUAGCGGUGAAAUGCGUAGAGAUCUGGAGGAAUACCGGUGGCGAAGGCGGCCCCCUGGACAAAGACUGACGCUCAGGUGCGAAAGCGUGGGGAGCAAACAGGAUUAGAUACCCCGGUAGUCCCUGUCUCUUAUAC